GACGAACGCUGGCGGCGUGCCUAAUACAUGCAAGUAGAACGCACAGUUUAUACCGUAGCUUGCUACACCAUAGACUGUGAGGUGCGAACGGGUGAGUAACGCGUAGGUAACCUGCCUGGUAGCGGGGGAUAACUAUUGGAAACGAUAGCUAAUACCGCAUAAUAUUCAUUAUUGCAUGAUAAUUAAUUGAAAGGUGGAAUUGCACCACUACCAGAUGGACCUUCGUUGUAUUAGGUAGUAGGGGAGGUAACGGCGUACCUAGGCGACGGUACAUAGCCGACCUGGGAGGGUGGACCGCCCAACCGGGACUGGGGCACGGCCCAAACUUCCACGGGGGGCCGCCAUAGGGGAUCUUUGGCCAAUGGGGGAAGUCUGACCGGGGAACGCCGCGGGGGUUGAGAAGGGUUUCGGGUCGGUAAGCUCCGUUGUAAGGGAAAAACGAGUGUGGGAAUUGAAAGUUCACGCUGUGACGGUACCUAACCAGAAAGGGACGGCUAACUACGUG
This 505-nucleotide ribosomal RNA is filed under the name uncultured bacterium. RNAcentral's name for it is "partial 16S ribosomal RNA". It matches the Rfam family "Bacterial small subunit ribosomal RNA", at positions 28 to 507 of the family's 1533-position model. The record is from RNAcentral.